AUUUAUCACAUCACUCGCAUACCCAGGCCGGCUGAUAUUUUAGGAGCGUGAAUCAGAGUGUCUGGCAUGGCUUCCUCUGCAGCCGAGCUCGUCUGCAAGCAUGAUGAAGUCGGGAGGGGGAAGAACUCCACUUAUCAGGGAGGAAAUUUGUGUCAGUGACAAGUCUGCCUGGCAACAGUGCUACGAAAGAGACACGCUAGGCCCCAACAUCGGGACCAAAAUCUUCACGCUGCUGGAGAGCGUCACGCUAAGCAGUUUUCCUCUUUGCUUCUCCUGGAUCUUCAGUCGCAGUGUAUCUGAAGCCACACCCACCGUGUAUCCCCGGCCCCCACCCAUGCGGCAGCACGUCACCGUCCAAUAGAGGGCACAACCGUGGGUCCAGGAAUCUGAACAGGAAGACUUGAAGGU
This 408-nucleotide long non-coding RNA is filed under the name Mustela putorius furo (domestic ferret). RNAcentral describes it as "lncRNA (ENSMPUG00000024471.1)". Lineage: Eukaryota; Metazoa; Chordata; Mammalia; Carnivora; Mustelidae. The record is from RNAcentral.